CCGAACCGACUAAUGUUGAAAAAUUAGCGGAUGACCUGUGGCUGGGGGUGAAAGGCCAAUCAAACCGGGAGAUAGCUGGUUCUCCCCGAAAGCUAUUUAGGUAGCGCCUCGUGAAUUCAUCUCCGGGGGUAGAGCACUGUUUCGGCUAGGGGGCCAUCCCGGCUUACCAACCCGAUGCAAACUGCGAAUACCGGAGAAUGUUAUCACGGGAGACACACGGCGGGUGCUAACGUCCGUCGUGAAGAGGGAAACAACCCAGACCGCCAGCUAAGGUCCCAAAGUCAUGGUUAAGUGGGAAACGAUGUGGGAAGGCCCAGACAGCCAGGAUGUUGGCUUAGAAGCAGCCAUCAUUUAAAGAAAGCGUAAUAGCUCACUGGUCGAGUCGGCCUGCGCGGAAGAUGUAACGGGGCUAAACCAUGCACCGAAGCUGCGGCAGCGACACUGUGUGUUGUUGGGUAGGGGAGCGUUCUGUAAGCCUGUGAA
Molecule: ribosomal RNA, 483 nt
Filed under: Salmonella enterica
Lineage: Bacteria; Pseudomonadati; Pseudomonadota; Gammaproteobacteria; Enterobacterales; Enterobacteriaceae
Also listed under: 1 other name
Description: partial 23S ribosomal RNA
Rfam family: Bacterial large subunit ribosomal RNA
Source: RNAcentral